This 22-nucleotide ribosomal RNA is filed under the name Amanita hunanensis. RNAcentral's name for it is "partial 25S ribosomal RNA". The record is from RNAcentral. Lineage: Eukaryota; Fungi; Basidiomycota; Agaricomycetes; Agaricales; Amanitaceae.
CAAAUGACCUCAAAUCAGGUAC